RNAcentral lists this ribosomal RNA (405 nucleotides) under uncultured bacterium. RNAcentral's name for it is "bacterial SSU rRNA". It matches the Rfam family "Bacterial small subunit ribosomal RNA", at positions 28 to 426 of the family's 1533-position model. The record is from RNAcentral.
GACGAACGCUGGCGGCGUGCCUAACACAUGCAAGUCGAGCGAGUGAAUCUCCUUCGGGAGUGAAGCUAGCGGCGGACGGGUGAAUAACACGUGGGCAACCUGCCUCAUAGAGGGGAAUAGCCUUCCGAAAGGAAGAUUAAUACCGCAUAAGAUUGUAGCUUCGCAUGAAGUAGCAAUUAAAGGAGCAAUCCGCUAUGAGAUGGGCCCGCGGCGCAUUAGCUAGUUGGUGAGGUAACGGCUCACCAAGGCGACGAUGCGUAGCCGACCUGAGAGGGUGAUCGGCCACAUUGGGACUGAGACACGGCCCAGGACUCCUACGGGAGGCAGCAGUGGGGAAUAUUGCACAAUGGGGGAAACCCUGAUGCAGGCAACGCCGCGUGAGUGAUGACGGGCCUUCGGGGUUGU